AAAUCGUGCGCCGCCGCCCUCCAUCCUUCGCCACCGCCGAUCCAUCCCUUCGCCGCCGCCGCGCUCCAUCCCUUCGCCGCCGCCCUCGCACAUCGAAGCCGCCGCCCACGAUCCACUUCAGGAGACGCCGUCGAUCCCGUUGAGGACCUGCUGCCCAUCAUGUCGAGGAUCCGAAGACGAUCCCCUUUAGGAGCCUUGCCGAUCCUUCUCCACACGCCACCGCCUCCCUUGCGAAGACGCCUUGCCAUGGAUCUCAAUCGGCGUUACGACGGCCGUGGCCUCCCCACCCGCCGACGUUCCAGAUCCGGCCAUCGUUGACCCCCUCCACAUCAGUGAUUGGUCAAGGUAGGGGUGUGUGGCUCUAUCCAUCUUCCUGCGUGUACGGCGUCUGUGUAUCCCGGCAAGGGUGCUUGUGAGAUCGGGAGGCGAUCAAAAGGAGGAAGAGGAGAUCCAUGGUUGGGGAUACAUUCAACGACCUAGGCAUCAUCCUCCCUGACGUCGUAUACUCGAAGCCCGCAGCCAUUGCCUUCUCAAUCUACGUUAGUCAGCAGCAGCAAGCAGAGAAUUAACAACAGUAGACCAAAGCAAAGGGGGGUCAGCCUGAAUGGGACGUAUCCCCUUCCAGAGGACUCGCCCUAGCUAGCCUGCAUGGUACCUUUCAUUAGCACUUCUCCCAGUAAGUUUGCAAAUUUUGGAUCCACCACUUUUGAAUCAUGCUUGGUGUGUGCUGACGGUGCACGAGGAACGUGACGGUUUUUCUCUGAAUCAUGCCAUAGUUCUCUCAAUAUUGUACGUGUUGUUCUCUCAGCAUUGUACGUGUUGUUCUCUGCAUGAUGUGUGGUGGAUGGGGAUGCGGAGGCGACGACUGGCGGCUGUUCUAUUUACACCUGACAUGGGGUUGAGAGGCUAGGGAGCAGGCGAUUUUGCACUCGUAUUUGGUCGGCAAUGGAGAUGAAUUUGUGAGAGAUGUGGCUGGGAGUUGCACCGGUCAUUUUUCUGCCCUCUCUAUGUUAUCCCUUUGCACUAAUCGGUAAUUGCUUUUUGACCAGGGGAUAGGGUAGCGUACACGAACAGCAAAAUUGUAGAAGACGAGGAGGACAAUCUGAGUGACCAACAUUAUGUGGAGUAUUGAGAUGCAGAUCCAUCUUCACCGACAGCACGCGCUUGUCUGUGACCUCCCACCAGCAGCGCCUUGAGGUCACCCACACAAGCGACCAAGCAAUUCCACGCUGUCACCCUCUGCUACUUCGCCAACGACAUCGAGGAGGUCGUGGGUGAGAGCUACUGUCCUCCCUGGAGAACAUGCUCGUGCCCCAUGCGUACGAAGAAGAGCUAAGACACUCGCAUGGGUGCUCAAGGAAAUAAACCAGAUUGAGCGAGAGUGUUAUGCAAUUUAUCAACAAGAGCAAAGACUCUAAUCUGAUGAUGUAGGACAGCUUUAAUGUGACAGAGGAUCAUGGUGGUCGAUGGAUUGUGCACCCGGUAGUAGACUAAGAAAGGAACAUUAUUUAUGGAACACAAUGAUAUUCAGAGCAGCCCUGCACUAUGUGAGAUUUAGAAGUUGGUACUGCCGGCGGAUGCAUCCAUGUGCUAAUCUCCUGGCACCGCGUAGACGGAGCCAAACGAGUUGGGGCCUCCAGCCGGCUGGUAGUGGACAACAACACCGGGUUUGUUAAUUACUCAACAAGUCACAGAUUGAUCUCUUUUUUGAUUGGUUUGGUGUGGAUUAUCAGGCCUGCCGCGCAAUCAUAGAUUUAUCUUUUGAUUUAUGUGGGUGGACAGAAACACCUUUUCUAAAGUUUUCUAGGGAUUGUAAUGAAGCACAGUAACACACUCCAGCAUUCAUUCUUUGCUUGAUAUUAGCAAACAAUGUAAAAUAACCAAGCUCACAACAUUCUAAAGCGGUCUAUUAGCUACUUCA
Non-coding RNA from Aegilops tauschii subsp. strangulata, 1921 nucleotides. NCBI's taxonomy places the organism in Eukaryota, Viridiplantae, Streptophyta, Magnoliopsida, Poales, Poaceae. The record is from RefSeq and is a predicted model, not a curated record.